AACUCGACCCCAGGUCAGGCGGGGCUAC
This 28-nucleotide ribosomal RNA is filed under the name Ficus cf. vasculosa LX-2012. RNAcentral's name for it is "partial 28S ribosomal RNA". Lineage: Eukaryota; Viridiplantae; Streptophyta; Magnoliopsida; Rosales; Moraceae. The record is from RNAcentral.